GACGAACGCUGGCGGCGUGCUUAACACAUGCAAGUUGAACGAUGAUGCUGGAGCUUGCUCCAGUUGAUUAGUGGCGAACGGGUGAGUAACACGUGAGCAAUCUGCCCUUGACUCUGGGAUAACUGCGGGAAACUGUAGCUAAUACCGGAUACUUUCACCGGAAGGCAUCUUUUGGUGAUGAAAGAAUUUCGGCCAGGGAUGAGCUCGCGGCCUAUCAGCUUGUUGGUGAGGUAACGGCUCACCAAGGCGACGGCGGGUAACCGGCCUGAGAGGGUGACCGGUCACACUGGGACUGAGACACGGCCCAGACUCCUACGGGAGGCAGCAGUGGGGAAUAUUGCACAAUGGGCGCAAGCCUGAUGCAGCAACGCCGCGUGAGGGAUGAAGGCCUUCGGGUUGUAAACCUCCUUUAGCAGGGAAGAAGCGAAAGUGACGGUACCUGCAGAAAAAGCACCGGCUAACUACGUGCCAGCAGCCGCCGUAA
Molecule: ribosomal RNA, 484 nt
Filed under: uncultured bacterium
Lineage: Bacteria
Description: partial 16S ribosomal RNA
Rfam family: Bacterial small subunit ribosomal RNA
Source: RNAcentral